This is a small nuclear RNA of Nomascus leucogenys (northern white-cheeked gibbon), 113 nucleotides long. The record is from Ensembl. NCBI's taxonomy places the organism in Eukaryota, Metazoa, Chordata, Mammalia, Primates, Hylobatidae.
GUGUUGGCUUCUGCAACACAUAUACUAAAAUUGUACAUCAAUGACACAGAGAUUAUUAGCAUGACCCCUGCACAGGGAUAACAUGCAAACUUUGUGAAACAUUUCAUAGAAAU